RNAcentral lists this ribosomal RNA (362 nucleotides) under uncultured bacterium. Its description in RNAcentral is "partial 16S ribosomal RNA". It matches the Rfam family "Bacterial small subunit ribosomal RNA", at positions 338 to 698 of the family's 1533-position model. The record is from RNAcentral.
CCUACGGGUGGCAGCAGUGAGGAAUAUUUGUCAAUGGCCGGAAGGCUGAACCAGCCAAGUCGCGUGAGGGACUACUGCUCUAUGGGUUGUAAACCUCUUUUAUAAGGGAAGAAUAUAUGCUACGUGUAGCAUGAUACCUGUACCUUAUGAAUUAGCAUCGGCUAACUCCGUGCCAGCAGACGUGGUAAGACGGAGGAUGAGACCGUUAUCCGGAUUCAUUGGGUUAAAAGGGUGCGUAGGCGGUUUUUGAGGUUAGUGGUUAAACGUCGGGGCUACACCUGGAUUUGCCAUUAAUACUGUAAGACUAGAGUUCAGAAGAGGGAGGCGGAAUACGUUAAGUAGCAGUGAAAGGCUUAGAUAUA